AUUCCAGCUCCAAUAGCGUAUAUUAAAGUUGUUGCGGUUAAAAAGCUCGUAGUUGGAGUUCUGCCAGGUGCCACCUGUCCGCCCCAGUGGUGAGUACGUGGUGCGCAUUUGGCCCUUUCAAGGGGAGCGUAUUUGCACUUAAUUGUGUGGUGCGGGAUCCUUGACUUUUACUUUGAGGAAAUAAGAGUGUUCCAAGCAGGCUCUCGUCGUGCAUAGCUCAGCAUGGAAUAAUAGCAUUGGACCUCGAUUCUAAGCUGUUGGUUGCAAGAAGCGAGGUAAUGAUGAAGAGGGAUAGUUGGGGGCAUUCGUAUUUAACUGUCAGAGGUGAAAUUCUUGGAUUUACGGAAGACGAACCACUGCGAAAGCAUUUACCAAGGAUGUUUUCAUCG
Molecule: ribosomal RNA, 389 nt
Filed under: Syndiniales sp.
Lineage: Eukaryota; Dinophyceae; Syndiniales
Description: partial small subunit ribosomal RNA
Rfam family: Eukaryotic small subunit ribosomal RNA
Source: RNAcentral